AAAGUCGUAACAAGGUCUCCGUAGGUGAACCUGCGGAGGGAUCAUUAACACGUUUCCAUAACGUUUUAUUAUACCAACCAACCGCGUGAAUUCAAUAGAAUUAUACCCGACUUGAGAGGGAGAGAACCUGUCUAACUACACGGAGUGAUGAGUGUGUUCUUCAUGUGAAAGCAUGAAGAGCAUGCGGUGUAAUCAGGCUUGUAAUGCUCGACAUUACGGGAUUUCUCUCUUUCAAGCUAUCAAUCAACAAUGUUCCCUUCAUCGCUGGAACGAACAAACCCCUUUCACCCCUUUAUAACUAACUAGACUGAUAUUUUCUCAUGAAUGGUAUAAUUCGUUAUACUGUUUAUCUGAAUCAUUUAAUCAAAUAUCUAAGCACAACUCUUAGCAACGGAUAUCUUGGUUCUC
Molecule: unclassified non-coding RNA, 408 nt
Filed under: Basidiomycota sp.
Lineage: Eukaryota; Fungi; Basidiomycota
Description: partial contains small subunit ribosomal RNA, internal transcribed spacer 1, and 5.8S ribosomal RNA
Rfam family: Eukaryotic small subunit ribosomal RNA (bases 1-47)
Source: RNAcentral